GAAUUCGCCCUUAGAGUUUGAUCCUGGCUCAGGACGAACGCUGGCGGCGCGCCUAACACAUGCAAGUCGAACGGAGUCAAGAGGAGCUUGCUUUUCUUGACUUAGUGGCGAACGGGUGAGUAACGCGUGAGUAACCUGCCCUGGAGUGGGGGACAACAGUUGGAAACGACUGCUAAUACCGCAUAAGCCCACGGAUCCGCAUGGAUCUGCGGGAAAAGGAUUUAUUCGCUUCAGGAUGGACUCGCGUCCAAUUAGCUAGUUGGUGAGGUAACGGCCCACCAAGGCGACGAUUGGUAGCCGGACUGAGAGGUUGAACGGCCACAUUGGGACUGAGACACGGCCCAGACUCCUACGGGAGGCAGCAGUGGGGGAUAUUGCACAAUGGGGGAAACCCUGAUGCAGCGACGCCGCGUGGAGGAAGAAGGUUUUCGGAUUGUAAACUCCUGUCGUUAGGGACGAUAAUGACGGUACCUAACAAGAAAGCACCGGCUAACUACGUGCCAGCAGCCGCGGUAAAACGUAGGGUGCAAGCGUUGUCCGGAAUUACUGGGUGUAAAGGGAGCGCAGGCGGACCGGCAAGUUGGAAGUGAAAACUAUGGGCUCAACCCAUAAAUUGCUUUCAAAACUGCUGGCCUUGAGUAGUGCAGAGGUAGGUGGAAUUCCCGGUGUAGCGGUGGAAUGCGUAGAUAUCGGGAGGAACACCAGUGGCGAAGGCGACCUACUGGGCACCAACUGACGCUGAGGCUCGAAAGCAUGGGUAGCAAACAGGAUUAGAUACCCUGGUAGUCCAUGCCGUAAACGAUG
This 804-nucleotide ribosomal RNA is filed under the name uncultured bacterium. RNAcentral describes it as "bacterial SSU rRNA". It matches the Rfam family "Bacterial small subunit ribosomal RNA", at positions 1 to 811 of the family's 1533-position model. The record is from RNAcentral.